UAACUUACAAGAAGCUGAGUUUGUGAGGCGCUGUCAAAAACUGUCAUUGGAGCUUUUAUAUAUUGUUCAUCCAAAGCAUCACUGAAAUAUACUUGUGUUUAUUUAAAAUAAAAAUUCUGAAUUCUGAUCUAUUUUCUAUUAUUGUUAUAUUUUUCAAUGAAACUAAUGCAGGUGUUUCAUCGAAUUAGGGCUGUCAACGAAUAUUCUAAAUUCAAAUAUAUAUUCGAAUAGUUUUAAAAAAACGUAUUUCGAAGGUGAAAAUUAAUAUUCGAAUAAAAAAAAAUGUGGAAAAAAACGCCCGCGAUAGUAGAGGUGUGGCUGAGGGUUCAGGGACAGGUCACAGGAGUCGCACUGUCUGGCACAGCAUCACUGCUGAUGCGUCUUGCAUGGAAGAUGGCAGAAAGUGCAGAGCCCAACUCAACCGCAGCAGAGAAAGCGAUUUUAACCCCCCAAAAUCUAAAAAGCCAUGUCUGGAAGUACUUUGGAUUUUGGUCGGUAGGACGUCAACCCGCUGAGAAAACACGGACAGCCCAGACCAGGACAUCAGUCUGCUGCUUCAAAAAGAGAUGUUGAUGUAUGAACAAGAGUCUCCAAUACCUGCUCAACAAAAUCCUCUCAUGUGGUGGAAAACUUUGGGCUCUGGGAGAUACCCUCACGUCACCCAGAUGGCAAAGAAAUAUCUUUCCAUCCCUGGAUCCUCAGUGCGCUCUGAACACGUCUUUUCCUCUGCUGGGAAUAUAGUAAAUAAAAAGAGAUCAGCACUGGCCCCUUCA
Cyprinus carpio (common carp) is the source of this 773-nucleotide long non-coding RNA. NCBI's taxonomy places the organism in Eukaryota, Metazoa, Chordata, Actinopteri, Cypriniformes, Cyprinidae. The record is from Ensembl.